GACGAACGCUGGCGGCGUGCUUAACACAUGCAAGCCGAACGGAAAGGCCUGCUUUCCCUUGUGGAUUGCGGGUACUCGAGUGGCGAACGGGUGAGUAACACGUGAGUGAUCUGCCCCCAACUUGGGUAUAAGCCUGGGAAACUGGGUCUAAUUCCCGAUAGGACUGCAGGGUGGUGCCUGUGGUGGAAAACGAUUUUCUAGUGGUUGGGGAUGAGCUCGCGGCCUAUCAGCUUGUUGGUGGGGUAAUGGCCUACCAAGGCGGCGACGGGUAGCCGGCCUGGGAGGGUGGACGGCCACAUUGGGACUGAGAUACGGCCCAGACUCCUACGGGAGGCAGCAGUGGGGAAUAGUGCACAAUGGGCGGAAGCCUGAUGCAGCGACGCCGCGUGGGGGAUGACGGCCUUCGGGUUGUAAACUCCUUUCGACCGCGAGGAAGCCACCUGGUUGGAAGGGUGGUGUCGGUAGUGGUAGAAGAAGCACCGGCUAACUACGUG
Molecule: ribosomal RNA, 494 nt
Filed under: uncultured bacterium
Lineage: Bacteria
Description: partial 16S ribosomal RNA
Rfam family: Bacterial small subunit ribosomal RNA
Source: RNAcentral